AGGCAUGUGAUCAAUCAGGCUGAGACAUCUGUUACUGCAUUGAUUGACUUGGAUGAUCAGGCUUGUGAAAUAGGUGGCCCCAUCCUACUUUGCUGCCCCCAAGUACAUCUGUCUCAAAGCUUACACUGCUGGAAGGGGAUGACCAUCCCUAUUAGAGGACAGUCAUUCUCUGGUCAGGAGUAGAGAAAUA
Molecule: small nuclear RNA, 190 nt
Filed under: Homo sapiens (human)
Lineage: Eukaryota; Metazoa; Chordata; Mammalia; Primates; Hominidae
Description: 7SK RNA
Rfam family: 7SK RNA
About the family: 7SK was discovered as an abundant small nuclear RNA in the mid-70s but a possible function has only recently been suggested. Two independent studies have found that 7SK RNA binds the CDK9/cyclin T complex (known as elongation factor P-TEFb). P-TEFb activates transcription by phosphorylating the C-terminal domain of RNA polymerase II.
Source: Rfam by way of RNAcentral